UCAACCAGAAACAGAGACACACAUAAUAUAAUUGAAAUAUUCAAAACUUGUGUCGGAGCUAUAUGUUAGCCAUGUCAUUGUCAUUUUAAAUAAAAUUCGAACUGAACCUACUUUGGUAGUACUCCAGCACAUGUGAGAUGAGUUUUUAGGGUCAUGUAACACAUUAGACACAUAUAUCAGAACUCACAAACAUGUCCACUUUCAUCCGUACUAAAAAUCUACUCCCUCCGUCCCAUAAUAUAAGAACGUUUUUGACACUAGUGUAGUGUCAAAAACGUUCUUAUAUUAUGGGACGGAGGGAGUAAAACACAAACAGCUGCUAUGUCUGCCUCAUGUACAUGUUGUCCUAAAUAUAUUUACAAUACAAUUCUUUGCGUAUGCGCUAAUGCCGCCUAGAUUUAAACCCAUUUGGAUGAACAAAUUUCAGUCAUAACAUAAAAACGGCUACAGUUCAAACGAGAUGAAAUGCUCUGAAAAAUAGAGAGUUUUGCUAUCAAUGAGCUUGCUUCUACAACUAUGCGGGAAGAAUAAAUUUAGCUAAUUUUCUAGAGCAAGCAUGAAAAUUCUGUAAGCUCCAACAUUAUUAUCAGCAUGUGCAAAACCAAAUUCCUGGUUUCCUGCAACACAGGGCCAAAACUAAAUAUUUACACAAUAUAAAAUCUGAGCACCUACUAAACCAAUCACAGCUAGGAACUGAUCAAUCUAUGCUUCAGCACGUGGCUGAAUCCAAUCUAUUACAAAAAAAAAAAACAUUUUGUCAACUUCCCCACACCAUCAAACGGGCCCAAUCAACUCUAGAAAAUACCACACUUUAUUUGGCACAUUCACAAACAAGUAAAUAUGCCGCCUUGAAAAUGGAAACAAAAUCCUAUGCACCGAUAGCCAGCGUCCUAACUAUUCAUAGAAGAGACGGGUUACAGAAACGUAAUAGAUACAAUCUAGCCAAUUGAUGAAUUACCGGUGUACAGAUACUGGUUUACUACAAACACUUGCAAGAGGAAUCUAUUCGUUGCACGAUAUCAUGAAACUUAAUCUGCAUCCAUUAGACAGCACUGCCGAUCCAUCAGAUGGACAGCUAAUUCGACCAAAUCCAGCAUGCUGCUGUCAUAACAAACAACACAGCCCAUCACAUGACAUCAACUGGACAGACGGAGUGUGCGUGAGAGAGCGGCG
RNAcentral lists this long non-coding RNA (1173 nucleotides) under Triticum aestivum (bread wheat). RNAcentral's name for it is "long non-coding RNA (TAES_LNC003278)". The stretch from base 219 to 305 matches the Rfam family "MIR1120/MIR1122 microRNA precursor family". The record is from RNAcentral. Lineage: Eukaryota; Viridiplantae; Streptophyta; Magnoliopsida; Poales; Poaceae.